ACAGCUGAGGCUCCACUUCAGUACGACACAGUCCAAAUAGUCGGUUUUGUCUAAACAUCUCUCUUAUUUUACCAUGAUGAGUUUCAGAUCUGCUCUCAUUGCCGUUCUUUUGGGUUCUGUUUUGAUGUUAGCGGUAGAGGCUGGUCGAGGCUGCGGAAGAGGUCGAGGACACGCCUACGGCUGCCACGGAGGGGGAGAAAAAAGCAGCGAGGAGAGCGGCAGCAGCAGCGAGGAGGCCGCGUGCAAUUAUAAUGACACCAAGGAAUGUAAUGAUAACGACGCUGACACGUGCGUUUGUCCAGAGGGGUUCACCCUCUGCGGCGGCAGCUGCUGGCGCUACGAGAACUCCUCUCUCAUCUCCUACGCCGACGCAGUGUCGCUCUGUGCCAGCCUGGGUGCCGAAGUGGCGCUCCCCACCUCCGCUGCCGAGAACCAGUGUGCUGAGUGUGUGACGUCCAGCUCCUUGGGUGCCGGAUCGGACUCCGGGGCACGACGACGCUGGAUUCCUUCGUCACCUCUGACGGCUCUGCUCCAGCCUACACCAACUGGCAUGAGGAUCAGCCAAACCUUAGCGGAUGCGAGCCGUAUAACUGCGAUAACUGCGCGUAUGUUUCUGCCGCCGAUGGCAAGUGGUAUGUUUACCGCUGCGAUUUCAUCUAUCUUACCCUUUGUCAUACGCGGACCUGCUGUGCUUAGUUGGACUUGGGAUAACGCUUCCGAAAUAAUGACUCUUCUUUGGUGUCCUUAUGGGAUAUUAAUGUCUUUAACAGAUAUCUAUAUCUGUAGAUAUCUUGACUGAAAGUUGGAUGGCAAAAAUUGUGUAGCCCAAUUUCGUCUAAUACUUUUUACUCAUCUUCUUUUACAUUUGUCAUUUAACGUAAUCAGUUUGGCUGCUCACAGAAUAGCCACAUCUUGAAUCUAUUUCUUUUUACCAUUAAUGUAAAAACUGCACUUCUGGGUAACGUUGUCAUUAUCUAUAAAGGAAGCCCCUAAUGUUGCAUAAGACAAAAAAAUGACAUGCGAUCUAGCGACGAUGAUAUAUGGAGAAGAGGAAGAGAAAGGAGUGAGAAGCAGUGAAAGGAGGAGAUGGGAAAGGGAAGAAGACUAGAAAAAAGAAGAAGACCAUGAAGGAAGGGCGAGGAAGGAGGAGUAGGAGAUUGGAAGUUUUUUUUUUGCUUUGGGGACUUACACCUGUUGUCUGCUAUGUAGUUUGACGUCUUUUUCUUUCGCCUUCCUUACCUACCUAUACCUACAUAUAUUCAGUUUAGUUGGCGGUGGUAGUUUUUCCGCGUUUGUGUCGGUACACGGGUUAAUCAAUGUUACAUACCAAUGGUGCUUGCGUCUCAAAAAUGUUUUAUUGCAUGCCAUUUUGGUCGUAGUUUGCACUUGGCAAUAUAUCAAAUGUGCACUUUA
Amphibalanus amphitrite is the source of this 1413-nucleotide long non-coding RNA. RefSeq lists it as uncharacterized. The record is from RefSeq and is a predicted model, not a curated record. The transcript is spliced from 3 exons. NCBI's taxonomy places the organism in Eukaryota, Metazoa, Arthropoda, Thecostraca, Balanomorpha, Balanidae.